Molecule: long non-coding RNA, 243 nt
Filed under: Elaeis guineensis (African oil palm)
Lineage: Eukaryota; Viridiplantae; Streptophyta; Magnoliopsida; Arecales; Arecaceae
Description: long non-coding RNA (EGUI_LNC044123)
Source: RNAcentral
UUGUGGAGACACCUUUGGGGAGUGCUCCAUUUGAAUACCAAUUUCUCUUGAUGUUGGAAAAUAUAUCCCAAAAGCCAAUCGGCAACCUAUUGACGGUUGAGCAACCUUGUAUUGUAAUUAAUUUAUUAAUAAAUAAAAUAUAUUUUUGAUAUUUUCAUCACAAGUUUUCAUCUUCUAAUGAACUCCGUUGUUGUGAUGAAGUCCUUAGAACUAUUUAGGUUCAAUAAAGAGAGGAUUUAUCGA